AUUGAACGCUGGCGGCAGGCCUAACACAUGCAAGUCGAGCGGAUGAAGGGAGCUUGCUCCUGGAUUCAGCGGCGGACGGGUGAGUAAUGCCUAGGAAUCUGCCUGGCAGUGGGGGAUAACGUCCGGAAACGGGCGCUAAUACCGCAUACGUCCUGAGGGAGCAAGUGGGGGAGCUUCGGACCUCUCGCUAUCAGAUGAGCCUAGGUCGGAUUAGCUAGUUGGUGGGGUAAAGGCCUACUAAGGCGACGAUCCGUAACUGGUCUGAGAGGAUGAGCAGUCACACUGGAACUGAGACACGGUCAAGGGUCCUGAGGGAGGCAGCAGUGGGGAAUGUUGGGCAGUGGGCGAGAACCUGAUCCAGCCAUGCCGCGUGUGUGAAGAAGAUCUUCGGAUUGUAAAGCACGUUAAGUUGGGAGGAAGGGCAGUAAGUUAAGACCUAGCUGUUUUGACGUUACCAGCAGAAUAAGCACCGGCUAACUACGUG
Molecule: ribosomal RNA, 484 nt
Filed under: uncultured bacterium
Lineage: Bacteria
Description: partial 16S ribosomal RNA
Rfam family: Bacterial small subunit ribosomal RNA
Source: RNAcentral